GACGAACGCUGGCGGCGUGCUUAACACAUGCAAGUCGAACGGAAAGGCCCUGCUUUUGUGGGGUGCUCGAGUGGCGAACGGGUGAGUAACACGUGAGUAACCUGCCCUUGACUUUGGGAUAACUUCAGGAAACUGGGGCUAAUACCGGAUAGGAGCUCCUGCUGCAUGGUGGGGGUUGGAAAGUUUCGGCGGUUGGGGAUGGACUCGCGGCUUAUCAGCUUGUUGGUGGGGUAGUGGCUUACCAAGGCUUUGACGGGUAGCCGGCCUGAGAGGGUGACCGGCCACAUUGGGACUGAGAUACGGCCCAGACUCCUACGGGAGGCAGCAGUGGGGAAUAUUGCACAAUGGGCGGAAGCCUGAUGCAGCAACGCCGCGUGCGGGAUGACGGCCUUCGGGUUGUAAACCGCUUUCGCCUGUGACGAAGCGUGAGUGACGGUAAUGGGUAAAGAAGCACCGGCUAACUACGUGCCAGCAGCCGCGGUGAUACGUAGGGUGCGAGCGUUGUCCGGAUUUAUUGGGCGUAAAGGGCUCGUAGGUGGUUGAUCGCGUCGGAAGUGUAAUCUUGGGGCUUAACCCUGAGCGUGCUUUCGAUACGGGUUGACUUGAGGAAGGUAGGGGAGAAUGGAAUUCCUGGUGGAGCGGUGGAAUGCGCAGAUAUCAGGAGGAACACCAGUGGCGAAGGCGGUUCUCUGGGCCUUUCCUGACGCUGAGGAGCGAAAGCGUGGGGAGCGAACAGGCUUAGAUACCCUGGUAGUCCACGCUGUAAACGGUGGGUACUAGGUGUGGGGUCCAUUCCACGGGUUCCGUGCCGUAGCUAACGCCUUAAGUACCCCGCCUGGGGAGUACGGCCGCAAGGCUAAAACUCAAAGGAAUUGACGAGGCCCCGCACAAGCGGCGGAGCAUGCGGAUUAAUUCGAUGCAACGCGUAGAACCUUACCUGGGUUUGACAUGGAUCGGGAGUGCUCAGAGAUGGGUGUGCCUCUUUUGGGGUCGGUUCACAGGUGGUGCAUGGCUGUCGUCAGCUCGUGUCGUGAGAUGUUGGGUUAAGUCCCGCAACGAGCGCAACCCUUGUUCACUGUUGCCAGCACGUUAUGGUGGGGACUCAGUGGAGACCGCCGGGGUCAACUCGGAGGAAGGUGGGGAUGACGUCAAGUCAUCAUGCCCCUUAUGUCCAGGGCUUCACGCAUGCUACAAUGGCUGGUACAGAGAGUGGCGAGCCUGUGAGGGUGAGCGAAUCUCGGAAAGCCGGUCUCAGUUCGGAUUGGGGUCUGCAACUCGACCUCAUGAAGUCGGAGUCGCUAGUAAUCGCAGAUCAGCAACGCUGCGGUGAAUACGUUCCCGGGGCU
Molecule: ribosomal RNA, 1346 nt
Filed under: uncultured bacterium
Lineage: Bacteria
Description: partial 16S ribosomal RNA
Rfam family: Bacterial small subunit ribosomal RNA
Source: RNAcentral